RNAcentral lists this ribosomal RNA (305 nucleotides) under uncultured bacterium. Its description in RNAcentral is "bacterial SSU rRNA". It matches the Rfam family "Bacterial small subunit ribosomal RNA", at positions 335 to 656 of the family's 1533-position model. The record is from RNAcentral.
UGCCUACGGGGCGCAGCAGUAGGGAAUCUUCCACAAUGGGCGAAAGCCUGAUGGAGCAACGCCGCGUGGGUGAAGAAGUAUUUCGGUAUGUAAAGUCCUAUCAGCAGGGAAGAAGAAAUGACGGUACCUGACUAAGAAGCCCCGGCUAACUACGUGCCAGCAGCCGCGGUAAUACGUAGGGGGCAAGCGUUAUCCGGAUUUACUGGGUGUAAAGGGAGCGCAGGCGGCAGCGCAAGUCUGAUGUGAAAGCCCGGGGCCCAACCGCGGGACUGCAUUGGAAACUGCGCAGCUGGAGUGCCGGAGGG